This 505-nucleotide ribosomal RNA is filed under the name uncultured bacterium. RNAcentral describes it as "partial 16S ribosomal RNA". It matches the Rfam family "Bacterial small subunit ribosomal RNA", at positions 28 to 507 of the family's 1533-position model. The record is from RNAcentral.
GACGAACGCUGGCGGCGUGCCUAAUACAUGCAAGUAGAACGCACAGUUUAUACCGUAGCUUGCUACACCAUAGACUGUGAGUUGCGAACGGGUGAGUAACGCGUAGGUAACCUGCCUGGUAGCGGGGGAUAACUAUUGGAAACGAUAGCUAAUACCGCAUAAUAUUAAUUAUUGCAUGAUAAUUAAUUGAAAGGUGCAAUUGCACCACUACCAGAUGGACCUGCGUUGUAUUAGCUAGUAGGUGAGGUAACGGCUCACCUAGGCGACGAUACAUAGCUGACCUGAGAGGGUGAUCGGCCACACUGGGACUGAGACACGGCCCAGACUCCUACGGGAGGCAGCAGUAGGGAAUCUUCGGCAAUGGACGAAAGUCUGACCGAGCAACGCCGCGGGAGUGAAGAAGGUUUUCGGAUCGUAAAGCUCUGUUGUAAGAGAAGAACGGGUGUGAGAGUGGAAAGUUCACACUGUGACGGUAGCUUACCAGAAAGGGACGGCUAACUACGUG